RNAcentral lists this ribosomal RNA (497 nucleotides) under uncultured bacterium. RNAcentral's name for it is "partial 16S ribosomal RNA". It matches the Rfam family "Bacterial small subunit ribosomal RNA", at positions 28 to 507 of the family's 1533-position model. The record is from RNAcentral.
GAUGAACGCUGGCGGCGUGCCUAAUACAUGCAAGUCGAGCGAACAGACGAGGAGCUUGCUCCUCUGACGUUAGCGGCGGACGGGUGAGUAACACGUGGAUAACCUACCUAUAAGACUGGGAUAACUUCGGGAAACCGGAGCUAAUACCGGAUAAUAUAUUGAACCGCAUGGUUCAAUAGUUAAAGACGGUUUUGCUGUCACUUAUAGAUGGAUCCGCGCCGCAUUAGCUAGUUGGUAAGGUAACGGCUUACCAAGGCAACGAUGCGUAGCCGACCUGAGAGGGUGAUCGGCCACACUGGAACUGAGACACGGUCCAGACUCCUACGGGAGGCAGCAGUAGGGAAUCUUCCGCAAUGGGCGAAAGCCUGACGGAGCAACGCCGCGUGAGUGAUGAAGGUCUUCGGAUCGUAAAACUCUGUUAUUAGGGAAGAACAAGUGUGUAAGUAACUAUGCACGUCUUGACGGUACCUAAUCAGAAAGCCACGGCUAACUACGUG